GGCGCACGGGUGCGUAACGCGUAUGCAACCUACCCUUUACUGGGGGAUAGCCCGGAGAAAUUCGGAUUAAUACCCCAUGGUAUUUACAGAUGGCAUCUGAAGUAAAUUAAAGAUUUAUCGGUAAGGGAUGGGCAUGCGUGACAUUAGCUAGUUGGUGAGGUAACGGCUCACCAAGGCAACGAUGUCUAGGGGUUCUGAGAGGAUGAUCCCCCACACUGGUACUGAGAUACGGACCAGACUCCUACGGGAGGCAGCAGUAGGGAAUAUUGGUCAAUGGGCGAGAGCCUGAACCAGCCAUGCCGCGUGCAGGAAGACAGCUUUCUGAGUUGUAAACUGCUUUUAUAUGGGAAGAAAAAGGUCCUGCGGGACACAUUGCCGGUACCAUAUGAAUAAGCACCGGCUAACUCCGUGCCAGCAGCCGCGGUAAUACGGAGGGUGCAAGCGUUGUCCGGAUUUAUUGGGUUUAAAGGGUGCGUAGGCGGAUCUUUAAGUCAGUGGUGAAAUCCUGCAGCUUAACUGUAGAACUGCCAUUGAUACUGGA
Molecule: ribosomal RNA, 541 nt
Filed under: Bacteroidetes bacterium N3mML1
Lineage: Bacteria; Pseudomonadati; Bacteroidota
Description: bacterial SSU rRNA
Rfam family: Bacterial small subunit ribosomal RNA
Source: RNAcentral